This 496-nucleotide long non-coding RNA is filed under the name Physcomitrium patens. RNAcentral describes it as "long non-coding RNA (PPAT_LNC000426)". The record is from RNAcentral. Lineage: Eukaryota; Viridiplantae; Streptophyta; Bryopsida; Funariales; Funariaceae.
CCAUGUGAUGGAAGUUGAAUGAGGGGAUGGCUGUCUGUGUGUGUAUGUGCAGGUAGUGACAGUUGGGGUGAGAUAUGACAGAGUGUGAUACUCUGGGUUGCAGACUUGAUGUCAGAGAGAUCAGCACAGAGCAGUGUGCCAUGAUGAUUUUGAUUGAUACAUGGGAGUAGGCAGUUAUUAAUCAGAGCAAUGAACCAUGCCACAUCAGCCCUACUUUUGCUUCCUUGUCUUCUAAUUUUAUUACAUUUACUCUUCCUCUGCCUCCUUUUCCUUUUUCCUUCUUCCUUCCCUGUCUUCCCUUCCCACAUGGCUUUAUUUCAGGUGCAUGCUGAAGCAUUUGAUGAUCUGGUGGUGGGCGGUGGUGGUGGUUAUGAGCUCUACAUGGUCUGUGUGGAUUUGGGGCUGCACGCAGAAGAGCUUGUGAGUGUCUGGUAGGCUACAUCAUGAGAGCCUCUGACAGGCACAGUGAUACACGAUACCAGGCAUGAAGCCCAGC